This 101-nucleotide signal recognition particle RNA is filed under the name Deltaproteobacteria bacterium. RNAcentral's name for it is "signal recognition particle sRNA small type". It matches the Rfam family "Bacterial small signal recognition particle RNA". Rfam says of the family: The signal recognition particle (SRP) is a universally conserved ribonucleoprotein involved in the co-translational targeting of proteins to membranes. Archaeal SRP consists of a 7S RNA and homologues of the eukaryotic SRP19 and SRP54 proteins. In most bacteria, the SRP consists of a 4.5S RNA and the Ffh protein (a homologue of the eukaryotic SRP54 protein). Lineage: Bacteria; Pseudomonadati; Myxococcota; Myxococcia. The record is from RNAcentral.
CGCAGGGUCCUGCUCGAAUUACGGACUCCGUGAACCCCGUCAGAUCCGGAAGGAAGCAGCGGUAGCGGUGUUUCGAUUGCGAGCGGGGGUGCCCUGCGAUC